This 463-nucleotide ribosomal RNA is filed under the name uncultured bacterium. RNAcentral describes it as "bacterial SSU rRNA". It matches the Rfam family "Bacterial small subunit ribosomal RNA", at positions 28 to 507 of the family's 1533-position model. The record is from RNAcentral.
GACGAACGCUGGCGGCGUGCUUAACACAUGCAAGUCGAGCGAUGAAGCACCUUCGGGUGUGAAUUAGCGGCGAACGGGUGAGGAACACGUGAAGAAUCUGCCUUCAACUCUGGGAUAACUCCGGGAAACCGGGGCUAAUACCGGAUAUGAGCCUUGAUCGCAUGAUCGGGGCUGGAAAGUUUUUCGGUUGAAGAUGACUUCGCGGCCUAUCAGCUUGUUGGUGAGGUAAUGGCUCACCAAGGCGACGACGGGUAGCUGGUCUGAGAGGACGGCCAGCCACAAUGGGACUGAGACACGGCCCAUACUCCUACGGGAGGCAGCAGUGGGGAAUAUUGCGCAAUGGACGAAAGUCUGACGCAGCGACGCCUCGUGAGGGACGAAGGUCUUCGGAUUGUAAACCUCUUUCAGCAGGGACGAAGCGAAAGUGACGGUACCUGCAGAAGAAGCACCGGCUAACUAUGUG